AGGAAGCAUUUAUUUAAGAUUCCCAUCAUGCUGGGAAGCUGUAGCAAGGGGUACAGCUCAGGGAAGGACAGGAUGUUGCCAGGAUCUGGGGCAGGGCCAAGGGCAAAGGGCACAGAAGGAACGGAUGUUGGAAAGGGAACGCGAGGCCCUCCGGAUUGAAGGUCUCACCGUGGAGACCAAGGAUGAGUCGGAAGAUGCAUCAGAAGGUUGCAAGAUGACGUGACCAGCAUGCUGCACACAUCCUUAGGAAAAGCCGUGGGCCUUGGUUAAUGUUGAUUUUGAACCUCCGCUGUGCUUUAAUGAGAGCUAUAAAGGGUCCACUCCAGAAGUGGGAGACCAGAGAAGGCAGCCAAGACACAUUCCCCCCAGCGCCCUCCAGGCUCUGCUGAUGGGAUUGCCCAGCAUCUCUCUGCUCAGAAAGGUGGGGAUCAUAGGAGCAGACCCAAGAUGGAGCACGGGUUCCUCACCCCCACCUCUCCAUCCAUCUGGACAGAUCUCGGACUCAGGGACAGAAGCUUCUAGAUAAUAUGUCUGUGGUUCAAAAUCAUGAGUCAGUUCGUAUCUGGCCAUCUUGGUCCUGGGGACAGUUUGGGACUGUCAAAUGGGACAGGCUGAUAUCCUCCUCGUUCUCAAGAAAAUGAUGGGAAGUAUUUUCUUCCUCCCCUCCCUUACUUCCCUUCCCCCUUCUCCUCUCCCCUCUUUCCCUUUUCUUUCCUCCCCUUCUCCUCCUCCUUCUUUUUCCUCCCCUCCCCCACUUUAUUCUGGAGCUGGAGAUGAACCCCAGGGUCUAACAUAUACUGGGCAAGUGCUCUGCUUCCCACUGAUCUAAACCCUAGCCCUGGUAUCAGUAGUUUGGUGGCCACUGAUCAGCCCUGUGCUAACACAUUGAGUCCUGUCUAUAACUCGAAAUGGCAACACAUGAGUACUUAGAUCUUUAUUUUCCAGCCUAUUCAGAGACGGUAGUUCACUUUCCUUAGGUAGCCCAGCUAGAAAGUGAUAGCCUGAGGGUUUGAACUCAAGUGGGUUGACUGGAGAGUCUACAGUAAAGGAGAUGGCACUCUUUGUUUUACUGGAAUUCUCUUUAGCCCCAUAGCUAAAAGGAUCAGGCUCCUUCCCACCUCUGUGCUUCCUUAGGCACUAAGGAGAUGGAAGGGAGUGACUGCUCGAUACCAAAAGUCAAUGUGCAGAAGAGAUGAGGGACAUGCCAAUCACAAAGCUUAUGUCUUCAGGAAAACCUCUCCCAGCUGAGCCCAGAGCUCACUGAGUUGCUUAGUCUGGCUAUCCAGCUUGCCCCCAAGGAGCCCCUAAGCACUGGGCUUACAGGUGAGUGCCACGCCUGCCCACCAUAACAUGGGUUCUGGGCUCUGAACUCAGGUCCUCUCACUUGCAUGCUUGACGCGCCGAGCCACCUCCUCAGCUCCUCAUCUCUCAGUUUACAUUUCCUUUUGACACAGCAUCUCCUGAUUUUCCCAAGAUGGUCUUGACCUCACACUGUAGCCCAGGCAGGCCUUGAACAUGUCAUGCUCAGUCACAGCCUCCUGAAGACCUAGGGUGACAGGCAUAUGACAUCAGGACUAACUAGUUUUGCUCCAUCAAGUGUGGCUGUAGACACCGAUGGAUGACCAUGUCUCCAUGUCCCACACUGUGAGAACACCUCCCUGGGCAGUGAGCCUGGGCAUAGUUUUUACCAUAAUCGAUCCUGCCAGCUUACCCAGAGGAGGCCAGGGAUGCAGACAGCCACCCGGAACUAGAUGGGACCAGCUUGCAAUAAGAAUGUCCUUGCCUUUUCAAGUGUCCAAGCACAGGUAGCUCAGCUUCUUGGCUCUCCUACUGUGCGGAGAUGUGAUUCCAACUCACCACACAUACCUGGACCAGCCCUAUAAUCUCUACUUUCCCCACCGUGCAACUUCCACUCUAUACAAGUCACAUCAAGAACAGCAAGCAGCUACAGCUGGGAGGGAGGCGAAGCUAUCUUUCAUACAGGCUUGGCAACACCGUCAGGGACACUUUCCAAGAACCCCAUGUCUCUUAUCUAUCUUAUUUCAGCCGAGGACAUCUUGCCCAACUCCCUUGGGAUUCUCUGGGGUUUAGAAUAAAAGCAUGGCAGUAUAGAUCCCAAGUCUGAAACCUGUAGCUGUGAGGCCUUAAAAAUAUUCAGUGUCUAUACGGCAAGCCAUUCAGACCCUGCCUGGUAACCGCAUCAAUUCUAUUGGUUGGUAGAUGGACCCAGUUUACAACUAUGCCUGUCAUGAAUGGUUGGUGAGUUUCAUCACCCUGGGAGGGGUGUGGGUGUGUGUGUGUAUGGGUGUGUGAGUGUGUCAUAAGACAGGCCAGGCAAUUGAAACAUGCAGACCCGGAUCCGAUCUUGACCUCGGAUAGGAAGGAAACCAGUGUGUACCCAAUCGCCGGUACCCAUUGCUGCAACUGACACGGCCUUUGAAUCAUCUUUUGAUCUCGUUCAAAGCCUCUCUGCUAUCUCAUCGGUCCAUCAAAGGCCUGCGAUGAAGGCCAGCAGAGUCCGGCCCAAGGAGAGAUGAGUCAGUGCUGAAGUCAAGGCUAGAAGCUUCCUUGAGUAGCAGCAGUCUUCUGUCUGGGGCUCAUCCCCUGAUCCUGCCAGCGGGGAGGGUUCUAUAGUUUAGGCCAGACCCAAAAUACUCUGUAAGAGACUUCCUUUCCCUGUGAACUUGUGUUCCAAUCCCUGCUAAACUGAUGGCAGAGAGGACUCGUGGCUUGCAAGAGAGGCCAGAAAAAAAUGUAUACUGUCUUUUUACGUGGGAUUGCAAGUCUCAAGCCCAGGUCCUAUAACUGAGGUACUUCAACAUGCUGCUGGUAACUGUGUGUUAGGGGCUGUCUCAGGUGAUGGCUAACUUUGUUUACUGUCCCCACGUCAUCUUGACAAUGAGCCACAUGCCCUUGUGUCAUCUCAAGGGCUCUCACCAACCCUGGAGAGCCUGCUAGGAUACCACACAGUCUCUAGAUGUUCUCUCUCGUUCUUCCCAGCCUAUUCCAAAGUGCAAAGCUCAGCAUUUCUCUAUGGAGAAGGCCAGACAUCCCCGUCAACCUGCUCAGAGUAGGACCAUGUGACGUUUUCUUAGGGAACAGUCAUUUUUUGUCUCCAUGGGGCCACCCUAAGACUUUGAGUCUAGAAUCAACACAGUUGAGGCUGGCCCUUACCUGGGGUGGGCCACCCACAGCUGUGCGACUUUGCAAAAUUCGUCUCAUCUCUCUGAUGUCGUGCUUCUUAAUGGUACAAAGUGAACCAUCCCAUCAGCACCUGGAAGAUGCUAAUGAAGCCUUUGCCAUGCAUGCAGGAGGACCUGAGUUCAAGACCCCAAACCCAUGUUUAAAAACAGACAUAAAAGCAAAAC
Molecule: long non-coding RNA, 3368 nt
Organism: Mus musculus (house mouse)
Lineage: Eukaryota; Metazoa; Chordata; Mammalia; Rodentia; Muridae
Product: predicted gene, 42016
Exons: 3
Source: RefSeq, a predicted model, not a curated record